CUACAAGUGCUGGAAAUACAGACAAAUCACCAGUUACAAGUCAAGCCUCACAACUGUCUGUUUUUUUAAAGACAUGAAUUUUGCUUCACUUCUGCCAUGAGAUUGGUAUCUGUAACUUCAGGGUUUCUUUGCCCUGAGCUCAGGCUCACAGGCUUGUUUAUUCUGGCUGCGUACCACUCUGCUGCUCUGUACCUCAGUAGUUAUGCCUCCUGCAAGCCAUCAGGUGGCGCUAUCCUGCAGAGUCUUUGAGGGAACGCGACAUUGUCUGGUACGAGAA
Stegastes partitus (bicolor damselfish) is the source of this 277-nucleotide long non-coding RNA. RefSeq lists it as uncharacterized. The transcript has 2 exons. The record is from RefSeq and is a predicted model, not a curated record. NCBI's taxonomy places the organism in Eukaryota, Metazoa, Chordata, Actinopteri, Pomacentridae.